This 397-nucleotide long non-coding RNA is filed under the name Malus domestica (apple). RNAcentral's name for it is "long non-coding RNA (MDOM_LNC000872)". Lineage: Eukaryota; Viridiplantae; Streptophyta; Magnoliopsida; Rosales; Rosaceae. The record is from RNAcentral.
GUGAGGUAUUCGGUCUACAGUGCAUCAUAGAUGUGUAUUCGAAUGAAGAUCAUUGCAGUAACUUUUUGAGCUUCGUCGACUGGUUUGUCAUCGGUAGGUGGCUCUAAUACCUUUUGCAGUAAGAUGAAGCUUCACGUCUUGAACCCACUUCAGGUAGUUUCUUCCAGAUACUUCCAGAGCAGUGAAAUCGAGCUUGUUCAAGUUUGACAUGUCCCUAAAACGGAAGGUACAACAAAAACUUGGUUAGUCAGAUGGUAAUCCAUAGACAUACAUCGUAGAACAUUCGGAUUUUAUAGACAUGUAUUUGUUUAAUUUAUGCAUGAAAACUUCGGGUUUCAAAAGCACUAAAUAUGAAACUAUAGGUUCAAUUUAGUUUUAUGAACGAUUAGUUCAUAAA